RNAcentral lists this ribosomal RNA (735 nucleotides) under uncultured bacterium. Its description in RNAcentral is "bacterial SSU rRNA". It matches the Rfam family "Bacterial small subunit ribosomal RNA", at positions 9 to 762 of the family's 1533-position model. The record is from RNAcentral.
GAGUUUGAUCCUGGCUCAGGAUAAACGCUGGCGGCGUGCCUUACGCAUGCAAGUCGAACGAAGCCCCUCGCUUCGGUGAGGGAGACUGAGUGGCAAACGGCUGAGUAACGCGUAGGUGAUCUGUCCCGAGGAGGGGAACAACCCGUGGAAACGCGGGCUAAUGCCCCAUACGCCCACCGGAUCGGACCGGUGGGGAAAUGUUCCGGCGCCUUGGGAGGAGCCUGCGUCCGAUUAGCUGGUUGGUGGGGUAACGGCCCACCAAGGCGACGAUCGGUAGCUGGUCUGAGAGGAUGAUCAGCCAGACUGGGACUGAGACACGGCCCAGACUCCUACGGGAGGCAGCAGCGAGGAAUCUUGCGCAAUGGGCGAAAGCCUGACGCAGCAACGCCGCGUGGGUGAUGAAGGCCUUCGGGUUGUAAAUCCCUUUUGCCGGGGAAGAACUUUGACGGUACCCGGCGAAUAAGCCACGGCUAACUACGUGCCAGCAGCCGCGGUAAUACGUAGGGGGCGAGCGUUGUCCGGAUUUAUUGGGCGUAAAGGGCUCGUAGGCGGCUUGACAAGUCGGCCGUGAAAACCCAGGGCUCAACCCUGGGACGCCGGUCGAUACUGUCAUGGCUAGGGUCCGGUAGAGGGGAAUGGAAUUCCCGGUGUAGCGGUGAAAUGCGCAGAUAUCGGGAGGAACACCAGUAGCGAAGGCGGUUCCCUGGGCCGGUACCGUACUUUGAGUGACGCUAU